This 119-nucleotide ribosomal RNA is filed under the name Phascolarctos cinereus (koala). Lineage: Eukaryota; Metazoa; Chordata; Mammalia; Diprotodontia; Phascolarctidae. The record is from RNAcentral.
CUGCAUGACCAUGUCAUCCCAAACAUGCCUCAUCACAACCAAUCUCAAAAGCUAAGCAGAGAAGGAUGUGGUUAUUACUUGCAUGAGAUACCUGCUGAGAAUAUCUGAUGCUAUACUCC